This is a long non-coding RNA of Corvus hawaiiensis (hawaiian crow), 3196 nucleotides long. RefSeq lists it as uncharacterized. The record is from RefSeq and is a predicted model, not a curated record. The transcript has 2 exons. Lineage: Eukaryota; Metazoa; Chordata; Aves; Passeriformes; Corvidae.
GGGGCGGCCCCCGGCCCGCGCUGGGGGGACCGUGGAAUCCUGGAAUCAGGGAAUGACGGAAUCGUGGAAUCACGGCGUCAUCAAGGCUGGAAGAUCACCUACUGGUUUAAGAUCACCUACUGGUUUAAGAUCAUCUCUACCAGCCGUCAGCCCAGCAGCACCACCGUAACCCCUGAACCACCACACCACAUCAGCCAGCGGCAGAUGCAGACGCCUCUUGAGCACCCCGAGGGAGGGCGACUCCACCACUUCCCUGGGCAGCCCCUUCCAAGGCCUGACCGCCCGGACAGUGAAAAGUUUUUUUCUGGUCUGUAACGUCGCGGCCCUGCUUGCCUCAGCGCUCGCCGUGCCCUCAGGAGGCGGCUGCCAUCCCUCGGCCCCUCAGAGGAUGAAAGGCAGGGCCACAGGGGUGAAUAAGGGACUGAACAUCUCGCUUAGGAGGAGACACUGCGGGAGCCGGGCCUGGCUAGUCUGGAGAAGGGAAGACUGAGAGGAGAUCUCAUCAAUUCGUGCAAAUAUCUCCAAGCGGUGUCAGAGGGCAGUACCAGACUCUUUUCAGUGGUGCCCAGAGGCAGAACGAGUAGCAAUGGCCAUAAAUUAAAGCACAAGAAGUUCUACCUCAACAUGAGGAAGAGCUAUCCAUUGAGCGGAGCACUGGACCAGCUGCCCAGGGAGGGCAUGGAGACUCCCUAUCUGGAAUAAUCCAAACCCUGGACGUGUUCCUGUGUCACCUGCUCAAGGUAACCAUCUCCAGCGGGUUGGACUGGGUGAUCUUCAGAGGUGCCUCCCAACCCCAGCUAUUCUGUGGUUCUGUGAUUCUGUGAAGCCACCUCACCCCUUCCCUGUUAUCCCCCUGUGGAGUCCAUAAGCCCAGCACUGGCUGAGCAAGGUUGUGGAACAGGCAGCCUCUCAGCAGAGGUUUGGCAGCCACCUCAGCCAAUCUGUGAGUCAGGUGUGCUGAGGGGGGCUGAGGUGUGUGUACCCACACCUCACAGAAUCCACUGCCAUCCAUCCUCCUUAGGAUCCUCAAAAACCCCUGGAGAAACACACUGUUCAACUAUAACCUGAGAUUAGCUCAGUUGGUCAGAGCAUGGUGCUGAUAACUCCAAGGCUGUGACUUCCAUCCCUAUACAGGCCAUUCACCUGUGGGUUGGACUUGAUGAUCCCAUUGAACUCAGAACGUUCUGUGAUCUACAGAAGCCAUUCUGAUGCACAAGGUCUUCUGGCCAAUGUUUCCUGCAUUGCUUUGGUGACAUUCAGCUCAGCUGUAGGAACAUGUGUGGCCCUACACCACCAGGACACACUCUGUCCAAGCCACCCUGCACAGCCCGCAGCUCCUAAAGCAUGAGGUAAUGGGGAGCUGGGAGCCAGCACGAGGCAGGACUGCCAAAAAACACGUGGAAACUGAGAGACCGGUGAUGAAGUAAAAGGCCUGUGAGCGUUAAGCUACAGAAAACACAGGAAAGCUGGAGAGUGGCAGCAGUGUUGGAGGUGGCAGGAAUGUUGCUGGUUCCAAAAUGAAGCUCUAGCUAAGCCUUGUGCAAUGGAGCUCCUUUCCAGCAGCAAGUGCGCCUGGAGGGAGAUCAAAUGUGACCUACUUUGGGAAGCUGGAUCCUGGAGACCUGGGGCUCCUGUACAACAGAACCUGCUGGGUGCUCCUUCUGGUCCUUAAAGAGGGGAAAAUCCUGCAGUGCCAUCCCUGUGGCAGGAAAAGCUGGCACUUCCAGCUGCUUGUUAUAUUUAUAUAUUUUAUCUUUACCAAUCUGGUCACACACAGUGCAUGGAGACGUUCCGUAUCUUGUGUCCCAAACCCCUCCAUAUCUUGUGUUCCCAUCUAUUUUUUAAUACAUGGCCCCAUGUUAAAUGACUUUUGCUUCUAUUUUCCAUGAUGAUCAGGGCAAAGGAUGAGAAUUAUUUUAUGGAAAUGGAAAUUACUGGACCCAAAGGGAGAUCAAGGCUUGUGAGAACCUGACACACAGCUCAGGGAACAAGGUUCCCAAACCCAGAGUCCUGAAGGACCUGGAGCGUCUCCUCACUCAUCCAGUACAGGGGUUUUAAUCUGGGAGGUGGAGGGUGGUAAUGAAUUAUGGAGGAACUCCUGAAGCACUGGUUGGUUUUAAGCAGGAGGAAGUAAAGCAAUCCAGUCAUUUAGACACCUGUUAGUGUGACCUCAAGAGCAUUAAAAGCUUAAAAUAUAAAAUAAAAAGGAAAAAGCUGGGGUGUCAUGGAGACAGACAAGUAAGUUUAAAAAUGUAAAGUAAAAAUGCAUUGUGUCUUUACUAAAGAUUGAUUGCUUUUAACGAAGAUUAAACUCCUGAUAAUUGUUUCCUAGACAUGGAUAUAGAAUAGAUUUAUUAAUUUAUUCAAUAAAUUAAUGGAAAGCAGGUCCAUAAAAAAAGAUAGCUAGGUGAAAAGGGUAGGAAAGUCACCUCAAACACACACCAGCUGUGGAUGCACAAAGGGAAUUUGUGAGAUUACGAAGGGAAGAGUGGGCAGAAAGUGCCUGGAUUCCCAUGUUCCCUCUAACCAGCCUCACCUCCCCGGAUCCCAGGACCACAGCCUGGCCCGUGUGUGCUUUUGCUCUUGCACAAUAUUUUUCAGACAGAACAAAAGGUAGGAGUGAGCUGAUGGCAUUUGCUGAUGGCACAAAGCUGGGAGGCACCGGCCGUGCAGCAGGAAUAGCUGUAUUGCUGGAAGAGCUGGAUAACAUGGAGUGCUGGCACACUGGAAAUGGGAUGAAAUUUAAUAGUGGAAAGUACAAGGUCAUGCCCUUGGGAAUUGCUAACAAGAAUCUCUGCUGCAAGCUGGGAGCUCAUCAGUUGGAAAUGACAGAAGAAGGGAAAAAUCUGGGUGUAUUUGUUGAUCUCGAGAUGACGACAGACUCCCAAUCUGAAGCAGAUCUGAAAAAAAUCACAUAUCCCUGGAGGUAUUUCCAGGAGAUGGGGGAAUGUUAAUGCCAUUAUAGAAGGCUCUGCUGCACCUUCUCUGGGAUUAUGCAUGCAGCUCUGGUCACUUUUAAUCAGGGGACACAAACUUAAAAUGUGACUGGAAAGUAAUUAUAGGCUAAUCCUGAUUUUUUUCUUGUACGAGAAUCUUGAAAUAAUUUGUUUAGCCAGAAAACCUGAAUGCUGAGAAAAGAUACAGUUGUUCUUUGUGAAACUUAGGGAGUAAACACAGCAGUAAACACAUCUCCCUU